UGGGGAAUUUUGGACAAUGGGCGCAAGCCUGAUCCAGCAAUGCCGCGUGCAGGACGAAGGCCUUCGGGUUGUAAACUGCUUUUGUACGGAGCGAAACGGUCUGGGUUAAUACCCUGGGCUAAUGACGGUACCGUAAGAAUAAGCACCGGCUAACUACGUGCCAGCAGCCGCGGUAAUACGUAGGGUGCGAGCGUUAAUCGGAAUUACUGGGCGUAAAGCGUGCGCAGGCGGUUUUGUAAGACAGGCGUGAAAUCCCCGGGCUCAACCUGGGAAUGGCGCUUGUGACUGCAAAGCUGGAGUGCGGCAGAGGGGGAUGGAAUUCCGCGUGUAGCAGUGAAAUGCGUAGAUAUGCGGAGGAACACCGAUGGCGAAGGCAGCCCCCUGGGCUAAAACUGACGCU
RNAcentral lists this ribosomal RNA (400 nucleotides) under uncultured bacterium. RNAcentral describes it as "bacterial SSU rRNA". It matches the Rfam family "Bacterial small subunit ribosomal RNA", at positions 355 to 747 of the family's 1533-position model. The record is from RNAcentral.